CAUAGACCAAGACAGCUGCUCACCGCGCAGGGAGGCUUUCAGCCCGGAUCCAGCUCCCUGAACACACAGCGGGGCGAGGGAGGCCCGGGAUAGAGAGGGGCAAGACCACAGUCCAGGAAGAUACCGGGAAGAAGAAACCCGAGGAGGAGCAGGAGCCUUCGCUGACUGACUGGAGACGGCUCAGCGACCACACAACCAGCAGAAGAACAAAGCAGUGAUAGAAGGAGCGAACCCCAGACACCAGGAAGGAGGAACGAGGAACUCCAAAAGUACCAAGACAGAGGAGGAGAGAAGAAGUGCAGACUGGGAGAGUCCAGCAGGGUCCCGGUCCAACAUCUGAGUGCAGUCCUAGGAACGGCUACCGAACCCUGAGACUUCCUGCGGUAGGGGACCCGAGCCUGAGGAGGACCCAUAUAAAAUAAAGAUGCUCCCUUGGCCUCCAACCGUGCAGCUUCAUCCCCUCAUCACAGCCUCUCUGUGACCUCACCUGCUGCGUCUCCGCGCGCUCCAGCUGCUGGCAGACGGCGGCCCGGGGAGGUUUCUACCCGCCACUGUUCCAACGCUCACGAUGUCCCUCCUGUGUAAUGUGUGCGUACUACAUGUAGUCUGUGUGUAGUACUCGUGCUGACGGCGCUCUCUGUACAGAAGGAAUCUGAAUAUUGUAAAGUUUGCUGUAGUACCUCAGACUUAUUUAAAAUGUCCCGCCCCAUCCAGGCUGUGAUCGGUCGGUCGUAGGGCCGAACGAUUUGGGGGGCAAAAAUUUAAUUUCUGCCAGAUGUUACGAUUCGAUUUGCGUUGUUUAAAAAUUAAGUUCAGCUGAAGUCCAAUAUUCACUGCCGCUCUGUUUCUGCAGAGGAACCGGGCAGGAAGUCGGACACAGAACGGCAGAGAGAUUCUGGUCGAUUUUCAAAAUAAAACGGCCUGUGCAGACUGCAGAUGGUGUAUCAACAAUAAACACAGUUAAACAGAGAAAAGACAGAACUGCGUAGCUACUUAACCGUGGCGGAAGCACAGAAAUCAAGGACAACUGAACAAGUCAGCAAAAUAAGACGGGCGAAACGCUCUUAUUCUGAAAAGCUCCAUGCGGGAUCUGUAGUUCACAGAAUGACAAAGUCACAGCGGGUUGUUGUCUUUAACGUCACUCGCACACAGCUCCUGAAUCUGCUGUUGGCGGGUAUCUGUUUAUCAGCUGAUAAACCAGCACCGCUCGUCCCAGACCGGGGCCAGCCCUGAUCUGAGGUCUCAGACCAGAGCUGGACAGGCCUCCUCAGCCCUCGGUAAUCCUCCUCCACCCUCUGAACACACAUGUGGUGACGAACACCACCUACAGACCAGGACCUGAACCCUGUCCUUCCUGUCGUUACCUUUUGUGUCUGAAACCUUUAUUUCUAUUAAAGGUGUGUUUGUUUUUUUACA
Micropterus dolomieu (smallmouth bass) is the source of this 1416-nucleotide long non-coding RNA. RefSeq lists it as uncharacterized. The transcript is spliced from 2 exons. NCBI's taxonomy places the organism in Eukaryota, Metazoa, Chordata, Actinopteri, Centrarchiformes, Centrarchidae. The record is from RefSeq and is a predicted model, not a curated record.